This 68-nucleotide transfer RNA is filed under the name Rattus norvegicus (Norway rat). It matches the Rfam family "tRNA". Rfam says of the family: Transfer RNA (tRNA) molecules are approximately 80 nucleotides in length. Their secondary structure includes four short double-helical elements and three loops (D, anti-codon, and T loops). Lineage: Eukaryota; Metazoa; Chordata; Mammalia; Rodentia; Muridae. The record is from Rfam by way of RNAcentral.
GGGGAUUUAGCUCACUGGUAGAGCGCUUGCCUAGCAAGAGCAGACCCUGGGUUCGGUCCCCAGCUCCA